AUCUAAGUGAUGAUCCCAUAGUUCAUCUGAUUAUUCUGAUGUACCUCUAGCCAUGUCUUUCGCUCCUAUCUGAUUUUAUAA
Danaus plexippus plexippus is the source of this 81-nucleotide small nucleolar RNA. It matches the Rfam family "Small nucleolar RNA snR60/Z15/Z230/Z193/J17". From Rfam's summary of the family: The members of this family belong to the C/D class of snoRNAs which contain the C (UGAUGA) and D (CUGA) box motifs. Most of the members of the box C/D family function in directing site-specific 2'-O-methylation of substrate RNAs. The family includes the yeast snoRNA snR60 (also known as Z15) and the corresponding human guide snoRNA U80 (SNORD80). The record is from Rfam. NCBI's taxonomy places the organism in Eukaryota, Metazoa, Arthropoda, Insecta, Lepidoptera, Nymphalidae.